CAAACGUAAAUAGAAAAGAUGUUUGUGAAAAUAAAAAUGGUAACAAGUUAGUUAGUAGUGACCCGGCGUUGUUAAAGUAACAAUUCAACCAGGCUUCCGCAGGUGAACCAUACGAAGGGUCCUUUCUAAAUUUUAGCCGUUUUCUUAUGGAAUAAAAGUUCUUUGUUAGGGCCUCGGCCUCUAACAAAGUAUACCUAUUUUAUAGGUUUUAAUCGUUACUAAAUAUCCUAAAAAAUUAAUAAAUUUUCAACGAUGGAUAUCUAGGCUCCAAUAACGAUGAAGAACGCAGCGAAGUGCGAUAAGCAAUGCGAAUUGCAGAACCGCGAGUCAUCAGAUUUUUGAACGCAAGUGGCGGCAGCUUAGGUUGUCAUGGUUGUUUCAGUGUGUCCGGUUAAUUACAUCAUGGAAUAUAAUGUGAUUGAAGAUAUUCUCUCACAAAAUAUGGAGUAGUGUCAAUGAAGACUCCAAACGAAUUAGUCACUAAAUGGUGAUAAUCGUAUGAGGAUCAGAAUUGGUGAAUCACUGUCAAAAACAUAUUUCCAUUAUGCACUUGAAUCAGCAAGAUACCCAGUUU
This 574-nucleotide ribosomal RNA is filed under the name Oryza sativa (Asian cultivated rice). RNAcentral's name for it is "eukaryotic LSU rRNA". The stretch from base 242 to 387 matches the Rfam family "5.8S ribosomal RNA". Lineage: Eukaryota; Viridiplantae; Streptophyta; Magnoliopsida; Poales; Poaceae. The record is from RNAcentral.